GGAGUGUGUAACAACUCACCUG
RNAcentral lists this unclassified non-coding RNA (22 nucleotides) under Dictyostelium discoideum. Lineage: Eukaryota; Evosea; Eumycetozoa; Dictyosteliales; Dictyosteliaceae. The record is from RNAcentral.